RNAcentral lists this long non-coding RNA (8524 nucleotides) under Carica papaya (papaya). Its description in RNAcentral is "long non-coding RNA (CPAP_LNC001779)". Lineage: Eukaryota; Viridiplantae; Streptophyta; Magnoliopsida; Brassicales; Caricaceae. The record is from RNAcentral.
AACUGUAGAUUCUUCCAUCGCAUCUAGCUAAAAGAAAUCCUAACAAAAAGAAUAAAGAAAAACCGAACAGCCAAACAACCAUGAAAUCUUUCGAUUUAUCACCAUACACCAAGAGUAGUUAGCAACACCACAACCAUUAUGUUCAGACAGCACUGACUAGCCCCAGGAACUGUUGACUUAGACCACCAGAAACCAUGUCACUUGCUUUUAGUCUCCCAAACUGUGUAGCCCUAGAUCUUUGUUUUCCUGGCUGAAAUGAGUAGCACUAGCCGCCAACCUGGAAUCCCUGAAGGUCGAUGCUGAACGAUUACCAGAGAACCAUGAAUGGUAAUCAAGUGCCCAUGAAAACGAGUGGGCUUUAACUUUUUUGCUACUGUUUCUUGGUUGAUUCACCCCUUAUUCAACCGGGUUUGGUCUAACCAGUUUGGUUCAAACUUGUACAAACUGAUUUUCCUUCCAUAUAGACUCGUUUCUAAGAUUUCUCAGUUUGUUCUACAUGUUUUUUAUUUUACUUUGAUGAUAUUGAAUUUGAUAACUGGCUUUAGAAAAAAUAAAAUUGAAGGUAACAACUUGGUGUGGAACCAUACAAACUUAUGGUUUGUAAUUUAUCACGUAAUCUAGCUGUUUAGUCAUAAUGUGUUGUACUAAGUUUUUGAUCCUUGUGGAUGCAUAGGGAGUAUUAAUAUUGUUGGAAACUGUAGUUAAUUGUACUAAUUGUAUUAUUUGUUUCCUAUUUGUAAAGAUAGUUUUUUCCUAUAAUAGGCUUAUUUAAUCAGCCUACUUAUUUUCCUAGGGUUUCCUUCUCUGCGAGUAAGAUUGUGCAUAAAUAGUGGUGUAUUGUGUCAUAAAAUUAUAUCCAUUCUUCUAAUUCUUCCAUAGAUACGUUUCCACAAAAUCAAGCUUGUACUUAUUUAAUGUUUUGAAGAGGCUAUGCAUGCUAAAAUUAUUUAUAUAGUUGUUGCAUUUAUAGUAUUCGUUGUUGGACGAGUUUGAGGUGUAUUCGACCUAUUUGCAAGAAAUAAAGAACUAUGGGAUACUCUAUAAGAACAUAAAAAUGAGGUAAAAUGUUCAACUAAGUUUUCUCAUAAACUAGAAGAGUCAAAGUUUAAAGUUCCUUCUGAAUUACUAGUGGCAGCUCAAUAGGUUUUGGCUCUUGUUGAAGUUAUUUCUGCUUAUAGUAAUGAUAUUGACAAUCCUUCUUUCAAUGAUCUUGUUUUACUUCUUAUUGCUAUUGAAGUAGUUCUCAUCCAUGAUGACUACAUUACAGAAAAAUUUUUGGAUGAUUUCGUUUUGCUUCACUAGUUUUAUGAUCUAAGGAAUGUUUUAUUCUGGUUAGCUUUCAAUUCUUCUAUAAAUAUUAUCAGAAGCCUCCAUUUUUUUGAAGAUUAUAAAGAGUCUGUUUGAGCCAUUCCUAUCUAUUAGCACAAGAAACCUUUGAAGGUUUACCAGAGCAUUAAGCUCUAUAGAGAAAUAGGAGUGUGAUUAAUUAUAGUUGACUGUUGUCAAGCGGGAGCCAAAGUAAGUUGGAGUUGUUGUUCUGUUAACAGAAAUGUAUAAAAAGUUUGAUGUUGACAGAACCUAGGCAUGUAAGACUGUACUCAUUGAUAAAUCAAUCUAAUUCUCUCUCGAAUCCUCAUCUCUAUCUUUAUCUCUCCUUUAUAACUUUUGCUACAAACUUGUUGGAGGCAAUGUCCAAAGCUCUAGACAAAUUGGGACAGAGCAGAGACUCCAUGGAAACACAAGCUGCUGUGGUAACAAUGACCAGAAACAAGGGAAAAACCAUAGCUGUGGAUCAACGCAUUCAACAGAUUGAUGAAUCUGUAAAAGAGGUUGAUUGGAGGCUGUCUGAUUUCAUAUUAGAAAUGUAUGAGUUGCAAAGACAGAUGCACCAACAAUUUGACCAGAUCGUGGAGCUUCUAUGGGGUAAAACAUGACUGUCCGACUUUAAUGCAUCGGUAAGUCCCUGACCAUCUACUAUUCCUUCUGAUAAAGGACUUCUGCCUAUGCCAAAAGUGCGAGAGGCUUGAGGAGUGGUGAUGAUGGAAGAGCAAGGAACUUCUAUAACAGUUUAUUGCUUAGGAUUAGAAUUCUUAUUUUUGAAGAAGUAAAUCCUUUGGGAUAGAUUAGAAGGUGUAUUUCAUGGAGUUCCUAACUAAUAGAUGAUUGAAAUGUUGAAUUAAAUAAAUCUUUAGAAUAGAAACUCACCCUACAUUCAAUUAAAUGAGAACAAAAAAAAAAAAAAAAAAUAGUGAAAACAUACCUUGAUCCAUUGUGGAAAUGAUUGUUCUUGAUGAUUAGGGUUUGAUUAUUACAAUUUAAAAUAAUCUUAGAGUUUAUAAGUUUUUCUGUUGAAAAAAGAAAAAAAUCUCUUGACAGUUUUUGAGAACCAUAAUUCUUUAAAAAGACAUAUGAAAAGGCACAUGCUUUCAUUAUUUCUAAUUUGUCUCAUAAUCAAAUUAGAAAUAACAAUUUGGUCUCUAUACAUUAAAUCUAUGACAAUUUAAUAUCUUAAAGUUAAUUAUCAACUUUAUUAGAACACCAAUUAAAACGAUACACAUUAAAUCACAUAUGUGUGCUCAUAUAUUGAAAUUUUUUCCAACAUGAGAUUGCUUAUCUCUAUCUUGGAGAAGUGGGUGAUGUUUGAUUAAAAGGUUUGCAUGCGAAGAAUGACAAUCAAGACUGAGAUCUAUUCGUAGAAGAAUUAUUUCGAAGGUUUGAAGGAACUUAUUGCAGAGUUAACCAGUAUUCUUUCGAGACAAAAUGUAACCGGUCCUUGAGGCCUCCUCGAGUUGGGCCCAAAGCUUGGCAUUUCUUUUUGAUUCCUCAAGCCCAUUAAUCUUACUUGGGCUUUAAGUCUUCUGGCUUGGACAAACUUGGCCCAUCUCUUUAAAUAAUCAAUUAGGAAAGAGUUCAAGAAUGAAAUUACUUUCCUAUUCUGAGCAUUCCUCAUUGAUACAAGAUUGCAUCUUUGGAACUAAUUAUAGGCUAUUUAGGAUCACAUCAUCCACCCCUUUUUCAAAAAGAUUCAUUCUCGAAUUUGGACCUUCAUCAUAAGGAAAAAGAUUAGUGAUUACAAUAAAAAACAAACCAUAUUUCCCUGACAUGUUUACUUUGUUAUUGGUCUAUGUCAUAGCUUGAUUUACAAUUCCUUCGGGAUCUGGAUCAAAUAUUUGUAGCCCACUUGCAUGGUAAUUAGCCGAAAGAGGAAAAUAGUAUUACUACGCAAAGAGUGGUUAGGGUCAAAAUGAAUCUCCUUGUAGGUAAAUACAAUCAAACUUCUCUUUUCACAAGAGAUAUUCCUUAAUAUUUUAUCCCCUUUCAAGAGUCACAAGUUGCCUUCCUAAGACCAAUCAAAAAGAGAUUGAGGCUAAAAAGGCGGCCAAUUUGUGUCCCAAGUGUAGAGACAAAGAUUACCUUGGCCAUCAAUGCUGCACCAGAAUGGUGAUGGCUGUGGAGGAGACAAAGGAGGUUGGUGAAGUUGAUGAUGAGGAGGAGGAGGAAAAAGUUGAAGGAGAGGAGGGCACAAGAACAUCUCUGCAAGCCAUAGAAGAGGUGACAACUGGAGGAACUUUAAAGAUUAUAGGAACAAUGGGGGCCGAGUAUCAUUUUACUUGACAGUAGAAGCUCACUCUCAUUUAUAGACGUGGAUGCUGCAAACAUUUUCAAAGACGAAUUGUAAGCAACAAAUUGUGUGACGGUGGUAAAUGGUAAGAGAAUGACUAGCAGAGAAGAGUGUUUGGAAGUGAAGGAAUUAUGCAUCAGUAUAAGUUCAGGUACAAUUUUGGGGUGAUAGAGUUGGAGGGAGAUAUGGUAUGAUCCUGGAGUUGACUAGAUGAAAAAAUAUAGUCCCUUCAGUUUUGACUUCGUGAAGUCCAUAGUUAUAUUAGAUACAAAGACAUGGAGGUACUGUUGAACAUGGCAAUAAGGACCCAAAGAUUGUUGAGGUGUCGAUAGAUGAAGUUGUCAUGAAAAAGUUAUUUUUUAUGUAAUGAGAAUCAGAGUAGCUAAUAGUAACUAUAAUAUCCAAAUUAAUUUUAAUGUAAUUUAAAUUAAUUUAUAAAUAUAAUUUUUUAAUUUUUUAAUUUUAAUUUAAUGGAAAAAUGAAGGAAAAUAGGUGAAAGAUGAAAUUAAAAAUAUUUUUGGGAAAAAAAGGUAGAAAUUUAGGUUUCGAGGGUAUUUUUGAAAGAAAAAUCGAAAACUGGGGGUCAAAACGCAAUUUAGAAAUGUACCACGUAGGACGCUCAGUCAGUAGCCUCGACGAACUAGAACGCGCUGCGUGGUAAGGGAUGCUGACGCGGUGCCACGCGAGAGGUCACGUGGGCGAUCCGCAUGCCCGCAAUCGAAUGACCCAGAUUCGCUCCCGCGCGCACGGACGGCCUGGAUGCAUUCCCUUCCCAAACACAAUCGGACGGUUAGAUUUAAACGCGAUCAACAGUUCAGAUCCACUUCCUAUUUAAAUGCGAUCGAACGACCCAAAUCAGAUUGCGAUGAAUGACCCAGAUUCACUUCCUAUUUAAUCGCGAUUGGACGGUUCAGAUCAAACGCGAUGGAUGACCCAAAUUAAAAGGGAAUGGAUAUAAAUAACCAUUUUCACACCAAAUCCUAACCCUAUUCGCCAGACACCCUUGUCGGAGAAGAAGACCCAGCCGACGGGAAGGAGAGCUGCCGCCACCUGCCGCCGUGCCGGAGCCACUUUCGACUGCCAAAAGAAGUAAAAAUUUCUUCAUUUGCUCGAAAUUCAAUUUUAAACACUCUCAAGGCCGAAUUGGAGCAAAAAAACCGGCGGAUUGAUCGGAAACCACAGGUAAAGUCCGGGGGUACCCGCGGUGACGCUGCAGGAAAUUUAAAAAAAUACCUCCGAUGAGACCCUUCCUGAUUCUCGUUCUACGUAAUUCUUUCACCAUUACAACCACUGUUUUUUUCUCUACAGGUUGACUGAAGUAAAAACACCCAACUGCAAAGGUGAGCCGGCGGAGCCGUCGCACCGGAGAACCCAACCGCCAGUGAGUUUCAGUUUUUUAUUUUUUUUAACCAACCGAGAUCGCUUAACAUGUUUUCUCACAGGAAUGAUGCAAAACCAGUCGAAAACAGCCGAUCUGAGGCAAACCGCCGCCGUCACCGGUGGAGCCGCUGUGCUGAAAUUCUGGAAUUGGCCAAAAAGAGGUCUUGACAUCGAUUUUGGGUUUUGAGGAUAUUUGUAGGUAUUUAUAGCGCGUUUUAAUUCCCGAAGAAAAAUUUAGAGAACCCGAGGACCGCCAGUAGGCGCAGUCAACAAGUUUAGUUUUUUGAACAUCAAUUUGAUUAAAAAUCACUCACCCUAUUCUCUGUUAUGAAAUUGAUUUUUAAUUAUAAAUAAUGUAGUAUUUUGUACAAUUUAAAAAAAUAUCCAUAAUUAAUUACAUGUCAUUAAUGGAGUCAAAAUCGAAAAUUAUUUACUGUUGAUUUUGUUGAUUGAUUUUACAGUUUGAAUACAUUAUAGUAUCUGAUUGAUCGAUUUUAUAGUUUUGAAUACAUGUAUUGUUGGUUUUAUGUGAUUACGGUUGAAUUGAGAAACUAGAGAUUAAAGGUAAACGGACAUUAUGUGAUUAAGUGAAUGGAUGAAACGACAGCCUUAUUGGAUAUUUUGGGAGAUGAUGGAUGGAUCGGGUAUAUAAGGAACCCUACCGUGAAUGUUGCCUCAUACUGGAUGAGGUAUCGAGACUUGGUAAUUUAGCGUUCAUAUCGGACGGGGUAUGGAGACGGCUCGUUUUACCCUCAUACCGGACGGGGUAUGGGGACGACCCGUUAAUUAGAAAUGUUAAAGGAAAUGGUUCAUUCAUUGUGGGAACAUCCUUAUGAAUCCCCAUGGAUACCAGCAGGCUGAUAAAAGAGAAAAUUGUUGUUCCAACUAAUUACAUAUGAAAUCAUGAGAUGUGUUAUGUUAUUGUCUCUAUAAUUUGUAAAUCUCGUUACGGUAAGAAGACGGUAAACGAUUUUACUUAUGAUAAAUGAAUUUGCUUAAUUAAGAGUUUCAUUAGUUGUUUUGAUUUUUCUACCAACCUUUAUUUCUGUGUCGGUGAAUAGCGUGAGAUUUUUACUGGUUUAGUGUAAUUCAUUCCUUUAUUAACAAUUUCAUAUCAAGAAAAUCAGGAUUCGGAGACCGACCCACAAGAGGGUUGCGAGUAGGAUGCCAGUUUUAUUUAUUUUCCGUUUAUCGCUUUAAUUUUUUUGUAUUUCUUUCAAAGAAUAAUUCCUGUAGCACUAUUUGGUACUUUAAAUUAUUGUAUAAGAAAUGUAAAGCUUAACUAAUUUUUUCGCUUUCACCCUUAAUUUAUGAUUUAUUUCUUUUAGAAUUCUGGGAUUGUUACAGUAAUCGAGAAGAAUAUGAGAAAAUAGGGGCUAGCUCCCACAACCAAAGGUUAUCUUGGAAAAGUUAUAGGAUGUAUACUAGGAAUCAAAACGGUUUCUGCCCAAUUGGACCUUUGGUCAUGCCAUUCCAUUAAAGGGAGACAGUCAACUGGUUAAUGUUAGAUCCUGUCAAUAUGCCUAUCCCUAGAAAAAUGAGAUAGAGCAGCAGAUGACCAGAAUGUUACAAGAUUCGGUCAUUCGAUCGAACAAUAAUCUUUUGUAUCCCCAAUACUUUUGGUAAGAAGAAAGGUACUAGAUGGAGGUUUUGUGUAGACUACCGUGAACUCAAUUCAAUCACUAUGAAGGACAAGUUUUCAAUCCCAUCAUUGAUAGUUUUUUAGUGAGAAAAUUUUUAUUGGUUGAUGAACAUUUAUCAAAUUAGACAAACUGUGAGAUAUGAUACAAAAGAUGUUUAGUGUAUUCUCUUGUACCUUUGUAGAGUGCUAUAGGUAUAUCAUUAUCAGACUGUGUAAGUUUUUCGAGAUUUAACUGAAUUUUUGGAUGAGGGUUAGACUCUUAGAUCGACUUUAGCUCAGUUCCUGACAUCUUUCUUCUUGUAUAUACUUGUGUUACCAAUCUUAUUUUGUAUCUCUUGAUUAUCUUAUUUGCUUUAUAUUUGAUUGUAAACACCCAUUUGCAUCCCACUGGUUUUUUGUCCUUGGGUAAAUCCACCAUUUAUCAAGUUUGGUUCUUUUCAAAUCCUUAUAUUUCCAUACUUAUAGCGUUUUUUCAUUUUUUAUAGAAUAAUGUCUAAGAUACUGUGUUAGAGAUGAACUUAGCACUCUAGCUUGAAGAUGAUUUCUUUUCAGGCCUUGUAUGGAUACAGUCCAUCUGAAUAUUUGGAUACUACAUAGACUCCUUCACAAGUAGUGCAGAAUUUCUUACUUGAAAGGCUGCAGAUUAGUCGAGACAUUCGGCAACAAUUGCUCAAGACUCAACACAUAUCUAAGCAAUAUGCGGACAUGCGCUGUAGUGAAUGGCAAUUCAACAUCAUGAAUUAUUUCUGUUGAAAUUUCAGGCUUGUAGGCAAGGUGGGAGAGGUUGCAUACCGGCUGAGUUUGUCGGUUACUUCCUGAAUUCACCUGUUUUUCAUGUUUCCCAACUAAAGAAGUAUGUUUAGGCAAAAAAUUGUAUUUUCAAGGACUGCCGCAGUUAGACUCUGAGGGAGCUGCGCUCGUGUUGCUGAACAAGAUUCUACAAGUCAAAAAAAUUCUCUGGAAUGAAAAAGAAGUUGAGCAAAUCCUGGUCCAGUGGUAUUGAUGAUUGUACGUGGGAAGACAGACUUUUUGAUGCAGCAAUUUCUUGAGUUCAACCUUGAGGACGAGGUUAAUGUUCAGGGAGAGGGGGGAAGGAGGGGUAUUGUUAGCACAGAUAAUCCUCUGAAGGUUUGCCAAAGGUGUAAAGCCCUAUAAAGAAGUAGGAGGUGCGAUCAAUUGUAUUUAAAUGUUGUCAAGUGGAAGCCAAAGUUAGUUGGAGCUGUUAUUUUGUCCCAAGAAGGUUGAUGUUGUUAGAAUGUAUUGAUAAAUCAGUCAAAAUUUCUCUCAACUCUCUAUCUCUUUCUCUUCUCUAAAUCUAUAACUCCAAGUCGUUGAAGCUAAUGUCUUAGCUCUUGACAGUAUCUUGAUGUUUCAUCACUUCGAAACUUGAGCCUGAAUAUUCUCCAACUGGGUACAAUUCUGCAGAACAAGAAGUUAUUUUCGGGACAAAUUUUCAAUUAAAGAAUCUUUUUGUAAUGAUUAUUGCUAUUUGGUUUUUUUUUCCCAAAAGUUCCGUUAUUUAUGUUUAUUUAGUCAUUGUAUACAUUAAUUUCGUAUUUAUAUAGAUCUAAACUAUUAUGGAAAUUAGAAUUUUUUAGAUUUCUUUUAUAAUUUCCCUAUUAGUUGUAUUUAGGUUUCUAUAUAAAGGCUAGUAGGUAGGUAAGAAAAAGAAGAAUAGACAAUAUUGAAUUAAGAAUUUAUUUGUUAGGAUUUUAUGUCCUUUUAUCACUCUCUUUGUUCUUUUGGUUAUUGUUUUAUUAACAUAUCUUGCUUAGUCUAUUUUUCAUUAUAUUUUUUUCACCUUGAUCUUUAGUUUCCUUCAGCCAAUCUUUAUUCUUCAGUCUCUCACCUAAAAUUUCUCUAUUUCUAGACUAUCCAUG